GACGAACGCUGGCGGCGUGCUUAACACAUGCAAGUCGAACGGUGAAGCACCUUCCUUUUGGUGGGUGUGGAUGAGUGGCGAACGGGUGAGUAACACGUGAGUAACCUGCCCCCUUCUUCUGGAUAACCGCAUGAAAGUGUGGCUAAUACGGGAUAUUCUGUGCCUGCUGCAUGGUGGGUGUGGGAAAGAUGCGCUUUUGGGUGUUUUUGGUGGGGGAUGGGCUCGCGGCCUAUCAGCUUGUUGGUGGGGUGAUGGCCUACCAAGGCGGUGACGGGUAGCCGGCCUGGGAGGGUGGACGGUCACACUGGGACUGAGACACGGCCCAGACUCCUACGGGAGGCAGCAGUGGGGAAUAUUGCACAAUGGGCGCAAGCCUGAUGCAGCGACGCCGCGUGAGGGAUGGAGGCCUUCGGGUUGUAAACCUCUUUCGCCAGUGAAGCAGGCCUGUCCCUUGUGGGUGGGUUGACGGUAGCUGGAUAAGAAGCGCCGGCUAACUACGUG
RNAcentral lists this ribosomal RNA (501 nucleotides) under uncultured bacterium. RNAcentral describes it as "partial 16S ribosomal RNA". It matches the Rfam family "Bacterial small subunit ribosomal RNA", at positions 28 to 507 of the family's 1533-position model. The record is from RNAcentral.